RNAcentral lists this small RNA (651 nucleotides) under Pongo abelii (Sumatran orangutan). RNAcentral's name for it is "sense intronic". Lineage: Eukaryota; Metazoa; Chordata; Mammalia; Primates; Hominidae. The record is from RNAcentral.
GCAGCCAAAAUAAGAAUUGUCCUUGCUCAUAGUACAACCCUUUAAUUGACUUGUGCCUGAGUACUGGUGUGAGCUGAGUAUUGGUGAUUAUGAAUACUGGGCUCCCCAGCUAUUUGUUCAUGUACUUAUUGAGGUCACUAUUGGUCUUCCUUCUUCAAUGAAGGGAGAAGCUCUGUCGAAUGUAGACUGCAAAGUCAAGCUCAUUAAAAGUAUCCCUCUUUCUUCCUGAGAAAAGGUAUCCAAGGAGAAUUCUGUCCCUGGUUCCUCCCAUGUGGGGGUCUAGGCCUAGGACCAGAUCUUAUUGUCUCUACAAUCUUGAUUCUUUAGCAUUUCAGGAUAGGCAGAGAUUUGUUAAAGUAUACAAAAAUCAUAGCUAGAUAAGAGAGAUAAUAGAAAUAAGUUCUAGUGUUCUAUACUCCUGUAGGAUGACUACAGUUAAUGCUAAUAUACAGUUACAAAUAGCUAGAAGGAGGCUAUUGAAUGUUCCCAACAGAAAGAAAUGAUCAAUGUUUGAGAUGAUGUUGAUGUGCUAAUUACCCUCAUCUGAUCAUUAUACAUUAUAUGUAUCGAAACAUCGCUCUGUACCCUGUGAAUAUGUACAAUUAUUAUUAUUAAAAUAAAUACAUAAAUAAAAUUUAAAAGUCAUUAUGA